AUUAAGCCAUGCAUGUGUAAGUAUGAACUAAUUCAAACUGUGAAACUGCGAAUGGCUCAUUAAAUCAGUUAUAGUUUGUUUGAUGGUAUCUACUACUAGGAUAACUGUAGUAAUUCUAGAGCUAAUACGUGCAACAAACCCCGACUUCUAGAAGGGAUGCAUUUAUUAGAUAAAAGGCUGACGCGGGCUCUGCCCGUUGCUCUGAUGAUUCAUGAUAACUCGACGGAUCGCACAGCCAUCGUGCUGGCGGCGCAUCAUUCAAAUAUCUGCCCUAUCAACUUUCGAUGGUAGGAUAGUGGCCUACCAUGGUGGUGACGGGUGACGGAGAAUUAGAGUUCGAUUCCGGAGAGGGAGCCUGAAGCUCAUCCCACUCAAAUCCUACAGAAGCUGCAAUCG
RNAcentral lists this ribosomal RNA (396 nucleotides) under Prunus dulcis (almond). RNAcentral describes it as "rRNA SSU_rRNA_eukarya". It matches the Rfam family "Eukaryotic small subunit ribosomal RNA", at positions 43 to 406 of the family's 1831-position model. Lineage: Eukaryota; Viridiplantae; Streptophyta; Magnoliopsida; Rosales; Rosaceae. The record is from Rfam by way of RNAcentral.